GGCCGGGUGGCGGGGCUUGCCCUCUUUGAGCCAGCGCUCCAGAAUGGGAAGGCCGAAUGCGGCUGUUUUUCCCGUGCCGGUCUGGGCCUGGCCA
This 94-nucleotide transfer RNA is filed under the name uncultured archaeon. RNAcentral describes it as "tRNA-Ala(agc)". The record is from RNAcentral.